RNAcentral lists this ribosomal RNA (440 nucleotides) under uncultured bacterium. Its description in RNAcentral is "partial 16S ribosomal RNA". It matches the Rfam family "Bacterial small subunit ribosomal RNA", at positions 338 to 795 of the family's 1533-position model. The record is from RNAcentral.
CCUACGGGAGGCAGCAGUAGGGAAUAUUGCACAAUGGGCGAAACCCUGAUGCAGCGACGCCGCGUGAGUGAAGAAGUAAUUCGUUAUGUAAAGCUCUAUCAGCAGGGAAGAAAAUGACGGUACCUGAGUAAGAAGCACCGGCUAACUACGUGCCAGCAGCCGCGGUAAUACGUAGGGGGCAAGCGUUAUCCGGAUUUACUGGGUGUAAAGGGAGCGUAGACGGCAGGGGAAGUCUGGAGUGAAAGGCGGGGGCUCAACCCCUGGACUGCUCUGGAUACUGUACGGCUGGAGUGCAGGAGAGGUAAGGGGAAUUCCUGGUGUAGCGGUGAAAUGCGUAGAUAUUAGGAGGAACAUCAGUGGCGAAGGCGGCUUACUGGGCUGUAAUUGACGUUGAGGCACGAAAGCGUGGGGAGCAAACAGGAUUAGAUACCCGUGUAGUC